AGUGAACGCUGGCGGUAGGCCUAACACAUGCAAGUCGAACGGCGGCACAGUAAGAGCUUGCUCUUACGGGUGGCGAGUGGCGGACGGGUGAGGAAUACAUCGGAAUCUACUUUUUCGUGGGGGAUAACGUAGGGAAACUUACGAUAAUACCGCAUACGAUCUACGGGUGAAAGCAGGGGAUAUUCGGACCUUGCGCGAUUGAAUGAGCCGAUGUCGGAUUAGCUAGUUGGCGGGGUAAAGGCCCACCAAGGCGACGAUCCGUAGCUGGUCUGAGAGGAUGAUCAGCCACACUGGAACUGAGACACGGUCCAGACUCCUACGGGAGGCAGCAGUGGGGAAUAUUGGACAAUGGGCGCAAGCCUGAUCCAGCCAUACCGCGUGGGUGAAGAAGGCCUUCGGGUUGUAAAGCCCUUUUGUUGGGAAAGAAAAGCAGCAGGUUAAUACCCCGCUGUUCUGACGGUACCCAAAGAAUAAGCACCGGCUAACUUCGUG
This 492-nucleotide ribosomal RNA is filed under the name uncultured bacterium. RNAcentral's name for it is "partial 16S ribosomal RNA". It matches the Rfam family "Bacterial small subunit ribosomal RNA", at positions 29 to 507 of the family's 1533-position model. The record is from RNAcentral.